Long non-coding RNA from Polypterus senegalus (gray bichir), 507 nucleotides. RefSeq lists it as uncharacterized. The transcript has 3 exons. Lineage: Eukaryota; Metazoa; Chordata; Cladistia; Polypteriformes; Polypteridae. The record is from RefSeq and is a predicted model, not a curated record.
CAGGUCUCAAGUGGCCUGUAUCUUUUAAUCACAGCACCGUCUUCAUGACUACCUGUCUAGAAAGUUUACGGAAUGUUGUAACAGUGCUACAACUUGAUGGACUUCAUUUACUAGCUGCCUCGAAGGGUAUUGCCCUCAUUGGAUGUCUGCAACAGGCGCAGGAGAUGCUGGGGACAAGAAAGUUUUAGGUGUGUGACAAGGUUCCUUGAAUUUUGUGGGUGGAACUCCAAGAUGCGAGACCAGCCUUGCACCAGUACUAAGAGACAGCCCCCCAAAGGCAGGCUGGGAAAGCAAGUCCCUUAGCAGUUCAUUGAGUGAGUUUUUGGAGAUUAUUGACUGGCUUACCUUGGAUGGCUUUUUAGGCAACACCUUUUUGCAAAAAAAAGUGAGGAAGCAACAGUUACGGCACUACAGCCAUGUGGUGCGAUUCCUUGAGGGAGAUCCAACUUGUGGGAUCCUCAUUGCAGAGGACCCGAGCGGCUGGACCAGGCCAAUGGGACACCCACG